Macadamia integrifolia is the source of this 2065-nucleotide long non-coding RNA. RefSeq lists it as uncharacterized. The transcript is spliced from 6 exons. The record is from RefSeq and is a predicted model, not a curated record. NCBI's taxonomy places the organism in Eukaryota, Viridiplantae, Streptophyta, Magnoliopsida, Proteales, Proteaceae.
CGUUCGCCUUAAGAAAGGUUGUGCCUGUCGGUUCGCCUUAAGAAAGGUUGUGCCUGUUGCGGCUAAUUAUUGCUCUUUCUUUCGAUAUCUGAAAAACUUCUCCAUUUCAUUAGGGUAUAUAAUGGUGCAGAGCGCAGACUUGAUUAGCUGCUCCGUUGAAUAAUGAAUACGACCGAAUGGAUCUCAGUUUGCGACCCAAAAAAGAAAAAACACAGAAAGAAUGGAAGUCGUCAAUGGCUGUCUCCUAGAUCUAAGGGUGAAGAAGCUUACAGGCCCUCAAUCGGAUGGAUACAAUCAUGAAAUCGGUGUUGCUGUAUCCGAUUGCAUCAAGUCUUGUGGGAAUCCUCUAGGGUUGAUACCUGCAAGAGUCAAGCUACUUCCCUUGUUCUGCAACAUCAACACCAACUGCCUACCUUUAAUACCAACUGGAUCAAAGAGUUUCCAAGCAUAAUCUGCCUCUCUUCUCAACGCACUGAAAGUCCUUCCCUCUGUGUCCACUGGUUGUUCUGCUGGCUAUAGGAAAGCUAGUGGCGAGCCCAACCUCCUCGGUUGUUAAUGGCCUCUUGUGGAGGGACUUACGGAGCCCACUUAAGGGUGCUGAUCAACCUUACAUGCUCUCAAUAAGAUUGCUACGUACGGCUCAUGAAAAGUGUGUGCAAGUGCUUCAAGGCUUCUGGCAACGGCGCUGGCCAUCGCUCAGAACCAAAUUAAAUAUGCAUGGAUGGGCUACGAACCAUAAUCUGCCUCUCUUCUCAACGCACUGAAAGUCCUUCCCUCUCAGUGUCCACUGGUUGUUCCGCUAGCUAUAGGAAUGCUAGUGGCGAGCCCAGCCUCCUUGCUAUAAGAUAUAUUUCCAUUAGAACCAAAUAUGCUUGGAUGGGUGGGUCUCUCGGCUAUUAAACGAAGGUUAGGAUUAAAAGUCGAUUUUGAAAGAACCAUCCAAUAGAGAAGAUUGGCUGAGUCGCAUCUUAAUUUGGUGAGUACAUUGGACAACAUAUCAUCGGCACCGAAGGACAUCAUUUUGUGGUGUCCUUGGAUUUCAACAUUCUCGUGGGGCUGUAUGUACUGUUGGAGUACUACCCAACUGUCAAGGCUUGGAUAUUGUUGGUCUCAUAUUCGGUCUUGAUUUUCUUCUGCGUGGUGUCUAUCGCUGUUAAUGGCUUCAACCAAAAAGGGCGCUAUGGUAUUUUAUAGAGCCCCCAUGCACGAAUAGAUCAUGCCAGUCGGGUUGCUUUACCUUCCCCUUUCAACAUUCGCUUUUACUGCAGAUUAAUGGCUAACUUCAAUCACUGAGCCACGAAGCUUGAGAAGAGAACGAAACUAAAGGAGACAACUUCAAAGGUUGUGAGUCUUUCCACAACAUCAAGGCCUGCAUCACAUGUUCCUUUGUUUUAUAGGCUGCGUUGGCCUGGUGCGGUUAGAGAUAAACCCACGAAGACUGCUAUGGUGAAAAGUAAGUUCAUGUUUACAAGGUCAUGGAGAGUUGUGACAUUGAUGCUUGUUGAGGAUGACGAGGAGCUGCGGUUCUGUAUGGUUUUGGGAACGUCUCAGCUCUGAAAAAUUUCAAAGAAAAAAUAAAGGGUUCUGGCUAGAUCAGUGGAUCGAGGAUCGAGGAUCGAGAGAGAAAUCAAGAGAGAGAGAGAAAAAGGGGAUUGAAAACUUAGGGCCCGUUUGAUAACACUUCUGAUGUUUCUGUUUCAAGAAACGCCAGAAACAGAAAUUGCUGUUUCUAGAAAUAGAAACAGGUAAGAAGGGUGUUUGAUAAUUCUUGUUUCUGGAAACAGAAACAGGUAAGAAGGUGUUUGAUAAAUUCUAUUUCUGGGAACAUUUCGGACAGAAUAUGAUGUUUAUAAGCCAACUACAAGUCCAAUUGUAAUUCCCACACCAAAGUCGAAAAACCCAAAUAUAGUACUGAAGAAACCCAUCUCUAAUCUCCUUCUGAGAAAGUCUCAAAUCGAAGAACAAAAUAGAAACCCACUUUUCCUUCCUCUGCAAUCCUCAAAACCCAUCUCCAAUCCUCUCUCAAAUUCUUCCCCAGAUCAACAUCAGAAACCACCAAAUUGAU